Long non-coding RNA from Grammomys surdaster, 835 nucleotides. RefSeq lists it as uncharacterized. The record is from RefSeq and is a predicted model, not a curated record. Lineage: Eukaryota; Metazoa; Chordata; Mammalia; Rodentia; Muridae. The transcript is spliced from 2 exons.
ACUGGUCUUGAGGUAAUCCUCCUGCUUCAGCCUCCAGAGUGCUAGAGUGACAGCACUCUGGUCUCUCACACCCUGGCUCUUCCUGCUUACACCGUCCCAACUCACCAGGCCCCCAUUGGACCCGUCGUCUGGGGGUUGAGUCGUGCUAUUUGUGAAAUGAUCCGGUGCUGUGGAACAGAAAGAGGAAAAAAAUCCAAGCUGGAGUCUUCACUGGGCAUCACUUACAUACAGCCAGACUUUGCAAAACUCCAAGUCUUCAGCUAGAAUAGAGGUGGCAAAUACAGCCCUCUGGGGUGAUGUUGGUUGCUCUGGCCACUCUCAGCCCAGCAGGGAACAAUCGGGCCACCCAGAGUCCCCAUUGUUAGCCCAUUAGAAUAGAUGGCUUUCAGAUGAGUGUCCCCUCCACCAUCACUCUGGCCCAGAACCCUUAAGGACCUGGGCGGGGCUCAACCUUUCCCUGGAGUGUGUGACUCACAAGGCCCCCCCACCCCCAGGCUCCCGAAACUGGAACCAGAGAGACUGAGGGAAGGUCUGGCUGGGUCCACACCUACGAAGGGCCAGCCCUGGCAGCUGGGCCUUUAGGCCUCCUCCAGGUCCCCCUGGUAGCUUAAGACUCUCAACUAUGCAGACUCAGGUGCCCAGGCCCUCCCCUCCUCCACCUUCGGGCUCUCCUAAAUUCCACAAGACUUAAGGACGCAGGAAUUCUGGGAUGCAGGUACGGGUUUACUUUACGGUAGACCGCUUGCCUAGUGUGCAGGAAAACGUAGGUUCGAGCCCCAGCAACGUUUAAAAAAAAUGAAAUAAAAAUAAAAAGUUUGGAAGUCUGUUAACCUGA